Fragaria vesca subsp. vesca is the source of this 834-nucleotide RNA transcript. RefSeq lists it as uncharacterized. The transcript has 3 exons. The record is from RefSeq and is a predicted model, not a curated record. NCBI's taxonomy places the organism in Eukaryota, Viridiplantae, Streptophyta, Magnoliopsida, Rosales, Rosaceae.
AUCGAAAUCAACAACCAAAUUGAAGGCGACGCGAAACCCUAAUCGAAGCGAGCGAUGACGACCCUCACCGUUGGAGAUGAUCCCCAGCCUCGAAUCCUCAUCGCCGAAGCGGAACAGGAUGGAGGAGUUAUCAGAUUCUGAAUUAGCCGCCCGCUUUUUGACUCGCGAAGAUCUAAAACUCUCGUUCGCAGAAAAGUUUGAAAAGAUUUUGGUGGCCUCUGACUUGGCCGAUGCAGAACAGUUAGGGAUGAGUUAUGUCCUCGAUCGAUUCCGUAGUGAUCCCCAAGACUACUUAUGAACUCAUUUUGAUUUGAUGAUUUGCUGCUCAUUAUCUAAAUGUUUAGGUGCGGCCAAACGUGAUCCAAGGGAUGGCAAGGAUCCACUAUACGAUCCUGACAAACCUUUACCAGAGGGAUUUGCAUGGGUUUCUGCCUUCCUUGGGGGGACUGGAAAAACUUAUGUAAGUAAGAUAUUAUGCUUUCACUGUGGUGGAAAACACAUGACUGACCAAUGCUCAAUCAAGGAUACUCCGCAGGCCAUAGAGUUCCAGAAGAAGAAUGAUCUUUUUGUCUCAGUUGACACACUAUUCCGCAGGCCAUAGAGUUCCAGAAGAACAAUGAUCUUUUUGUCUCAGUUGAGACACUCUAGUCAUGACUCCUGACACAGGCUCAGCAAGUCCCAAGUAAUGUUUUGUGUGUAUGACACUCUUGUUUCAACUAUCUACCCUAGCUACUUAUUAUUAUGGCCUAGCUACUUGUUAUUAUGGCACACCAAUCUAAUGUCAUACAUAUGCGUUGUGACAUGCACUGUAUUACCUUGUUUGAUUAUCUAUCG